UACGUAGGGUGCAAGCGUUAAUCGGAAUUACUGGGCGUAAAGCGUGCGCAGGCGGUGAUGUAAGACAGAUGUGAAAUCCCCGGGCUCAACCUGGGAACUGCAUUUGUGACUGCAUCGCUGGAGUGCGGCAGAGGGGGAUGGAAUUCCGCGUGUAGCAGUGAAAUGCGUAGAUAUGCGGAGGAACACCGAUGGCGAAGGCAAUCCCCUGGGCCUGCACUGACGCUCAUGAACGAAAGCGUGGGGAGCAAACAGG
This 253-nucleotide ribosomal RNA is filed under the name uncultured bacterium. RNAcentral's name for it is "partial 16S ribosomal RNA". It matches the Rfam family "Bacterial small subunit ribosomal RNA", at positions 524 to 776 of the family's 1533-position model. The record is from RNAcentral.